Molecule: ribosomal RNA, 253 nt
Filed under: uncultured bacterium
Lineage: Bacteria
Description: partial 16S ribosomal RNA
Rfam family: Bacterial small subunit ribosomal RNA
Source: RNAcentral
UACAGAGGUGGCUAGCGUUAAUCGGAAUUACUGGGCGUAAAGCGUGCGUAGGCGGUUCUCCAAGUCCGUUGUGAAAGCCCCGGGCUCAACCUGGGAAUGGCAGUGGAAACUAGGGGACUGGAAUCUGGCAGAGGGGGGUGGAAUGCCGCGUGUAGCAGUGAAAUGCGUAGAGAUGCGGCGGAACACCGAUGGCGAAGGCAGCCCCCUGGGCUGAGAUUGACGCUCAGGCACGAAAGCGUGGGGAGCAAACAGG